GGUGGUAUAACCACUUGUUGAACUUAUCUAAUACAUCAGAAUCUACAUUUUCACCUAUAAGAGUUGUGAAGGGGUGCUUGAGGUAGAAAAAUUUAGGUCAAGUAGGGCUGCUGCCUCCAGAACUAUAUAGAGGUAUGAAAGGUGAUCGGGCGUGUUUCUCCAGUUGCCUGGUUCUCCAUGAAUUAAUAGGAGUUGCUUCAUCUGGUAUGGGCUCACCAUAGGUAACCAAUUAUGUUAAGCUGUCUGGCAAAUCAAAGUCAUCCAAUGUCACACCCUUCUUAUCAAUGCCCGAUCCUUCAGAAACAACUUUAUACAUUUGAUGUGCAUCUUCACCUUCAUUUAGCUAUUUCUCA
This 353-nucleotide long non-coding RNA is filed under the name Nicotiana benthamiana. RNAcentral describes it as "long non-coding RNA (NBEN_LNC001999)". The record is from RNAcentral. Lineage: Eukaryota; Viridiplantae; Streptophyta; Magnoliopsida; Solanales; Solanaceae.